AUGGAACACUUUGAAAGUCCUAUGGAGGAAAAAAAUGAAGUUCCUACUAGGAGCAAGAGACAAAGGACUGCUAAGUCUUUUGGUGAUGAUUUUCUUGUGUAUCUAAUAGAUGACACUCCCAGUUCUAUUUUAGAGGCCUAUGCAUCUGAAGAUGCUGACUACUGGAAGGAAGCGGUUCGUAGCGAGAUGGAUUCCAUCUUGGCGAAUGAAACUUGGGAGAUAACUGAUCGUCCUUAUGGGUGCAAACCUAUAGGAUGCAAAUGGGUAUUCAAGAAGAAGCUUAGGCCUGAUGGUACUAUUGAAAAGUACAAGGCUCGGCUCGUGGCAAAGGGUUAUAGCCAAAAGGAAGGUGAAGACUUCUUUGAUACUUACUCACCUGUGGCUCGACUGACCACUAUUCGAGUUCUACUUUCACUAGCUGCCUCACAUGGUCUUCUCGUUCAUCAAAUGGAUGUUAAGACUGCUUUCCAAAAUGGAGAGUUGGAUGAGGAAAUUUAUAUGGAACAACCAGAUGGGUUUGUAAUAGAUGGUCAGGAAGGGAAAGUGUGCAAGUUGCUGAAGUCUUUGUAUAGACUCAAGCAAGCACCCAAACAGUGGCAUGAGAAGUUCGAAAGAACUUUAACAGCUACAGGCUUUGUUGUGAUCGAAGCUGACAAAUGUGUGUACUAUCGCCAUGGUGGGGGCGAGGGAGUUAUGCUUUGCUUGUAUGUUGAUGACAUACUGAUUUUCGGAACAAAUCUGAAUGUUAUUAAGGAGACCGCAGGGACUUCAACUGUGCUGACGGACAUCAAGUUUUUGAGAGAUGAUGAUGGUGGGAUUACAUUGCUUCAAUCUCACUAUGUGGAAAAGAUCUUUAGUCGCUUUGGCUAUAGUGACUGCAAGCCCUCUCCAACACCUUAUGAUGCUAGCGUGUUGCUUCGAAAGAAUCGAAGAAUUGCUAGAGAUCAACUGAAGUAUUCUCAGAUUAUUGGCUCGCUUAUGUACUUAGCCAGUGCUACAAGACCUGACAUCUCUUUUGCUGUUAGCAAACUGAGUCGUUUUGUUUCAAAACCAGGAGAUGUGCAUUGGAAAGCUGUAGAGAGAGUUUUGAGAUAUUUGAAAGGCACUGCAAAUUAUGGAAUUCACUACACUGGGCAUCCAAAGGUGCGCCACGAGCGGUUAUGUAUUCACUCAUGGAGGUGGCGUUGUUUCUUGGAAGUCUUGCAAGCAGACCAUCUUAACGAGGUCAACAAUGGAAGCAGAACUCACAGCACUAGAUACAGCUAUAGUCGAAGCAGAUUGGCUUCGUCGGCUCUUGAAUGA
This 1302-nucleotide ribosomal RNA is filed under the name Triticum aestivum (bread wheat). Its description in RNAcentral is "partial small subunit ribosomal RNA". The record is from RNAcentral. Lineage: Eukaryota; Viridiplantae; Streptophyta; Magnoliopsida; Poales; Poaceae.